ACCNUACCAGGUCUUGACAUCUUUUGAUCACCUGAGAGAUCAGGUUUCCCCUUCGGGGGCAAAAUGACAGGUGGUGCAUGGUUGUCGUCAGCUCGUGUCGUGAGAUGUUGGGUUAAGUCCCGCAACGAGCGCAACCCUUAUGACUAGUUGCCAGCAUUUAGUUGGGCACUCUAGUAAGACUGCCGGUGACAAACCGGAGGAAGGUGGGGAUGACGUCAAAUCAUCAUGCCCCUUAUGACCUGGGCUACACACGUGCUACAAUGGAUGGUACAACGAGUUGCGAGACCGCGAGGUCAAGCUAAUCUCUUAAAGCCAUUCUCAGUUCGGACUGUAGGCUGCAACUCGCCUACACGAAGUCGGAAUCGCUAGUAAUCGCGGAUCAGCACGCCGCGGUGAAUACGUUCCCGGGCCUUGUACACACCGCCCGUCACACCAUGAGAGUUUGUAACACCCGAAGCCGGUGGCGUAACCCUUUUAGGGAGCGAGCCGUCUAAGGUGGGACAAAUGAUUAGGGUGAAGUCGUAACAAGGUAGCCGUAGGAGAACCUGCGGCUGGAUCACCUCCUU
This 566-nucleotide ribosomal RNA is filed under the name uncultured Lactobacillus sp. RNAcentral's name for it is "bacterial SSU rRNA". It matches the Rfam family "Bacterial small subunit ribosomal RNA", at positions 968 to 1532 of the family's 1533-position model. The record is from RNAcentral. Lineage: Bacteria; Bacillati; Bacillota; Bacilli; Lactobacillales; Lactobacillaceae.